RNAcentral lists this long non-coding RNA (1100 nucleotides) under Equus caballus (horse). RNAcentral describes it as "lncRNA (ENSECAG00000058163.1)". The record is from RNAcentral. Lineage: Eukaryota; Metazoa; Chordata; Mammalia; Perissodactyla; Equidae.
UGAGACGAUCUGGCCCCUGGACGCAAACCGCCCCUGCGGAGGACGCGAAGACGUCAGGACGCUGAAGGGCCUCCGGCACCCGACACGCCAGUUCCCUGCAGCCUCUGCAUUUUGCUGCUGCAACGUGAACAGCCAACAGCAAUCUUGCACCUGCUAAGCUCUCUCAGGAGCCUCCCUCCACCUCGGCCUACGCCACCCUGCCUGGCUGCUUUUAAUCCUCUCCAGGCCAUUGUGACCUGUCACCAUCACACAUUCCUUUGUCCUUGUUCCCCAAUAGCCUCCCUCGCGGGCCAAGGACACCAUCUUCUUGCCAAACGCUACACCGCCCUGCCGCAGACCGGCGACGCUGCGGAGGGAUUUGUGAGCCCUGAGUCAAUUCUGCCAAGGCUGUAGGAGGAGGUGGAUAUAAAUGGAACUCGUAGAUGUGUCACAUACUGGGGUGCACCACGAGAAGCAGGCUUACUGCCAGUCACACGUCCAUCAGUUAGGUCAGGGUUGGUUGAGUUUUUAGGCUUAGGACUCUAGGCCUGGCUCCCUUGGAUCCUCUGGCUCACAGUGUCACCCAGGGCUGCAAUCGAGGUGUCAACCAGUUCCAAGGAGUCACCUGCAGAUGUGAUGAGGAAGGAUCCGCUUCCAAGCUCACCUAUGUGGUUGCUGGGUUCAGUUCUUCAAGGGCUGUUGGACUGUGGGCCUCCAUUCCUUGCUGGUUGUUGGCUGGCCGCCGCCCUCAGCUACUUGCCACAUGGGCCUAGUCAACACAUCAUCUUGUUUCCUCAAAGCCGGAAAAAGAGAGAAUUUGCCAGCCAGAUAAAUGUCACAGAAUUUUGGAACUUAAUCAUGGAAGUGAUAUCUCCUCAUCAUUGCUUGUAUUGGUUAGAAACAACUUACUCAAAAGAAUGGGACUAUGUAAGACUGAAUAGCAAAAGGUAGUGAUCACUGGGGGCCAUCUUACAGUCUGCCUACCACAGAAAGAGAGGCCCAGUGGAGCCUGGUACUUACUCAAGUUCACACAAUUAGUGACGGUGUCAAGAUUCCAAAUUGAGCAAUGCAGCUCCAGAAUCUAUGUUCUGCCUGCAGUAUGAUGCUUCUUAUGAUAUAAA